Molecule: small nuclear RNA, 157 nt
Organism: Meriones unguiculatus (Mongolian gerbil)
Lineage: Eukaryota; Metazoa; Chordata; Mammalia; Rodentia; Muridae
Gene: U1
Rfam family: U1 spliceosomal RNA
About the family: U1 is a small nuclear RNA (snRNA) component of the spliceosome (involved in pre-mRNA splicing). Its 5' end forms complementary base pairs with the 5' splice junction, thus defining the 5' donor site of an intron.
Source: Ensembl
AUACUUAACUGCUAGGGAAGAUAUCGUUAUCAUGAAGAUGGUUUUCCCAGAGGAAGCCACCUCCAUUAUACUCCAGAUGAGCUGACCCUGUGAUUUCUCUAAUGUGGGACGCUUGACUACAUGGUUUGUGGUGGUGGGUGCAUUUACAAUCUACUCU